RNAcentral lists this long non-coding RNA (1471 nucleotides) under Cricetulus griseus (Chinese hamster). RNAcentral's name for it is "lncRNA (ENSCGRG00015033103.1)". Lineage: Eukaryota; Metazoa; Chordata; Mammalia; Rodentia; Cricetidae. The record is from RNAcentral.
CCACAUUUACACAUGUUUAAGAAAAAUCAGUGUGUUAGCAUUUUAGCUACAUAAUUCCCUGGAUUGACAUGAAUUCAACAAGUUAACACUCCUAAAAAUGCCACUGUCUGGCCCCUGCUCACAAGCAGGGAUUCCAGGAAGUCAGAGAAUGGAUUUUGGUGGUGCCAGCUCUCCUUUCUGAGUCACAUUUAUCCCAUGUUUUAGGAUCUAAGGACCGAGGCAAGUAAGGCAAGAAGUAGAAUCCCACCUCACCCAUUGAAUGGCACUUGAUGGGUGAUGUCCAUCCAUCCUUCCUUCCACGGUACACAUACUUAGGGUACAGACAGCCAAAUGAAAGACAAGGGGAGUCAGAAUAUAUCUCUCUCUCUCUCCCCUCUCUCUCGUGGGGAUGGAUCCCAGGGCCUCAGGGCCUCACUCAUGCUAGGCAAGUGCUGUGCCUCUACCUGCAUCCUAGUGAAGGAGAAGGGUCACAAAUCUUAGGUUUUGUUUGAAGAAAUGACAGCAAGUCAAAAUUCAAUAACUCGUUUAAGGUCAUCCAGUUGGUCAAGUGGUAGAACUAAGAUUGAAACCCAAACAACAGGGGCUCUGAAUGUGGCUCCUUGGGAACAGCACCUGCUACACAAGUAUGAAGAUCAAAGUUUGGAUCCUCAGAACUCAUGGGAAUAAAAACCAGGUGGGUGUGGUAGCCUUCCUAUAAUCCUAGUGUGUGGGAGGCAGGGACAGGGAAUCCCUGGAGGAAACUGUUCAAGAUUCGGCCAGAAACCCUGUCUCAAUAUAUAAGGUGGAGAACAAAGAAGAAAGACAUCUAGAAUCAACCUCAGUCCUCCACAUGUUCACACAUAUGCACGUGUCCCUGUAUACAUGUGAUCACAUGUAGAUGCAUACACAUAUGUACACUGCAAAGAGAAAGCCAAGCAAUAGGGUUCAUGGUCUUAAUCACUUUGCUAUAUUUUAAUCAAUCUUGCAGGGUCAAUAAGAAAUAAUUUUAUCAUUUUUUCAUAGGGUAACUAUAUAAUAAAGUGUAUACAAACCUAGCCAAGGGUGGGCUUGUCACCAGUGUUGACCCAUUGGCCUAAAACUAUGAGUAACCUGCACUGUGUGUCUUAUUCUGUUCAAAUAUAAUUCUGGUUCUUAAAAAAUUACUCAUUCUUCCACAUGUGAUGUCAAAACCAAAACCACAAGUAGCUUAUUUAGAAAAUGAGUCACCCUGGAAGGACUGUUGGGGUAACAAAAAGGGGAGGCACUUACCACAGUCAUGCAGUACCCUAGUCAAGGGAUACAGGGAUUCUACCCAGCCCCUACUAAUAGAUCUGGACCAGAGGUGGGGGUGUCCCAUUGAGAAGCAGACUUCUUGGUAUUUAAAAAGAUGAUCACAGAGUCUUGGAAAACAGUACCACACAAUGGUCAAACAUCCAGUGAAUAGUGGACUUGAUCAACACAAGGAAGCAAAGGAAUCCUGGUUGCAACAUGG